RNAcentral lists this non-coding RNA (108 nucleotides) under Tessaracoccus aquimaris. Its description in RNAcentral is "TPP riboswitch aptamer (THI element)". It matches the Rfam family "TPP riboswitch aptamer (THI element)". Rfam says of the family: Vitamin B(1) in its active form thiamin pyrophosphate (TPP) is an essential coenzyme that is synthesised by coupling of pyrimidine and thiazole moieties in bacteria. The previously detected thiamin-regulatory element, thi box was extended, resulting in a new, highly conserved RNA secondary structure, the THI element, which is widely distributed in eubacteria and also occurs in some archaea. RNAcentral also lists the same sequence under 1 other name. The record is from Rfam by way of RNAcentral. Lineage: Bacteria; Bacillati; Actinomycetota; Actinomycetes; Propionibacteriales; Propionibacteriaceae.
GGCCACACACAGGGGAGCGCCAAGGGGCGCUGAGAGUGCGGAUAUGACCCGCAGACCCUCAAACCUGAUCCGGUUAGCACCGGCGUAGGGAGUGAGACCUCCUCGGCA